UGGGGAAAAGGAACCAUGGUCACCAUCACUUCAGCAUCUCCUACAACUCCAUCUCCACCGGCGGUGUUUCCUCUGAGGCCCUGCACCUCCGGGACCGGAGACACGGUCACUAUUGGCUGCCUUGCCACCGAAUACUCGCCCGCCGCACUGACUUUCUCUUGGACCAAAGGCACGCAGGCAUUGCAGGACUUUGUUCAGUACCCCGCAGUGCAGAAAGACGACGGCAAAUACACUGGAGUUAGUCGGAUCCAAGUGAGUCGGCAGGACUGGGAAAAUCGCGUGGCAUUCAAAUGUCUCGCGACGCAUGCUGGCGGGAACACAGAAAAAGAUGUUCAGAUAAUUGGAGUGCAUUAUAAGUCGCCAAAUCUUACACUCUCCUCCUUUGAGGAUGACGAUAAGGCUACCUUCUCCUGCUUUGCCAAAGAAUAUUCACCACAAAAAUAUGAGUUCACAUGGCUGAAAAAUAAUGCUCCGGUCACCACUAAAGAGGACGAGAUCAUAGCGGUUUCUGAAGCAAAAACAAUCCCAGAGGGAAAGCUGUACAGCACAGCAAGUUUCCUCACUGUGCCAGCCACUGAGGCGGACAAUGCAAUCUUCACCUGUGUGUUCAAGUGGACAGGGGUAAACAACACUCCUUUAGUGAUGAAAAGAAAUUCUACAGUCACCAAAGAACAUUGCCCAGGCGGUGGUGGAGCAUGUCCUGAGGCCGAUGCGGAUAUAAAGAUCAUAGGCCCAACAGUCGAGGACAUGCUAUUAAAGAAACAAGGAACUCUUACAUGUGAAGCGAAUGUAAAGCAAGGAACAUUUGAGGAAAUGAUGUGGGAGAAGAGUGGAACUGAAGUAGCUGGCUCCGCACUUAAAAUCAAGAAUGGAAAGAAGGGCCUAUUCGCCAGUACAACUACAAUCACUUAUGAUGAAUGGGUGUCAGGGACCGAAUUCGUCUGCUCUGUUAAACUCUUGGACUGGGUGACACCAGAGAAGAGACGUUAUGAAAGGGCUGUGAACGGAGGACCGAUUGAGCGUCCUUCAGUGUUUAUGCUGCCUCCCGUAAAACAAACUAGAAAAGAUCAGGUGACCCUGACUUGCUAUGUGAAAGACUUCUACCCUAAGGAGGUUUUCGUGUCUUGGCUUGUCGAUGACGAGGAGGCAGGCUCCAAAUUUGAUUUCAAUACCACCGAGCCUAUCAAGACGGGCCACGGGCUGUACUCUGCCUAUGGCCAGUUAACCAUCGGAAUCGAUGAGUGGGAGCAGACUGAUGUGGUGUACAGCUGCGCUGUCUACCACCAGUCUGUGGCCAACACAACUAAAGCCAUCAUCAGGUCCAUUGGAUACAGAACAUUCCAAAACACCAACAUAGUCAACCUCGACCUGAACGUCCCUGAAACGUGCAAGGCCCAGUAGAUGUCCCUGUGUGUCGCUGCGUCUUCUGUCACUUGUUGUUUAAUGUGUGUUGCUCGUGAUAUGACAUUGUGUUUGUGUGAGUUUAAUGCAGAUUCAAAAUAAAAAAAAAAAACACUUUGCAA
This is a non-coding RNA of Mugil cephalus (flathead mullet), 1523 nucleotides long. Lineage: Eukaryota; Metazoa; Chordata; Actinopteri; Mugiliformes; Mugilidae. The record is from the annotation of a RefSeq genome assembly.